This 544-nucleotide ribosomal RNA is filed under the name uncultured Chloroflexota bacterium. RNAcentral describes it as "bacterial SSU rRNA". It matches the Rfam family "Bacterial small subunit ribosomal RNA", at positions 347 to 916 of the family's 1533-position model. The record is from RNAcentral. Lineage: Bacteria; Bacillati; Chloroflexota.
GGCAGCAGUAGGGAAUAUUGCACAAUGGGCGAAAGCCUGAUGCAGCAACGCCGCGUGUGCGAUGAAGGCCUUCGGGUCGUAAAGCACUUUUCUGAGAGAUGAGGUAUCUCAGGAAUAAGUCUCGGCUAACUACGUGCCAGCAGCCGCGGUAAAACGUAGGAGGAGCGUUAUCCGGAUUCACUGGGCGUAAAGCGCGUGCAGGCGGUUCGGUAAGUUGGGUAUGAAAUCUCCUGGCUUAACUAGGAGAGGUUAUUCAAUACUACCGGACUUGAGAGUGGUAGAGGAAGAUGGAAUUCCCGGUGUAGUGGUGAAAUGCGUAGAUAUCGGGAGGAACACCAGUGGCGAAAGCGAUCUUCUGGACCAUUUCUGACGCUCAGACGCGAAAGCUAGGGUAGUAAACGGGAUUAGAGACCCCGGUAAUCCUAGCCGUAAACGAUGUAAACUUGGCGUCGGUGGCUUAAACACCAUCGGUGCCGCAGCUAACGCGAUAAGUUUACCGCCUGGGGACUACGAUCGCAAGAUUAAAACUCAAAGGAAUUGACGG